AACGCGAAGAACCUUACCUGGGCUCGAACGGCUCACGAACGUCUUUGGAAACAGAGAUUUCCCGCAAGGGACGGGAGUCGAGGUGCUGCAUGGCUGUCGUCAGCUCGUGUCGUGAGAUGUUGGGUUAAGUCCCGCAACGAGCGCAACCCUUGUCCUGUGUUACCAUGCCGAAAGGCGGCACUCGCAGGAGACCGCCAGCGAUAAGCUGGAGGAAGGUGGGGAUGACGUCAAGUCCUCAUGGCCUUUAUGUCCAGGGCUACACACGUGCUACAAUGGGCGGUACAAAGCGCUGCUAAACCGCAAGGUGGAGCCAAUCGCAAAAAGCCGCUCUCAGUUCGGAUUGCAGGCUGCAACUCGCCUGCAUGAAGCUGGAAUCGCUAGUAAUGCUAUAUCAGAACGAUAGCGUGAAUACGUUCCCGGGCCUUGUA
This 428-nucleotide ribosomal RNA is filed under the name uncultured Acidobacterium sp. RNAcentral's name for it is "bacterial SSU rRNA". It matches the Rfam family "Bacterial small subunit ribosomal RNA", at positions 958 to 1385 of the family's 1533-position model. The record is from RNAcentral. Lineage: Bacteria; Pseudomonadati; Acidobacteriota; Terriglobia; Terriglobales; Acidobacteriaceae.